UACGUAGGGUGCAAGCGUUGUCCGGAAUUAUUGGGCGUAAAGAGCACGCAGGCGGUUUGGCAAGUCGGAUGUGAAAACCCGAAGCUCAACUUCGGGCCUGCAUCCGAAACUGCCCGACUAGAGGUAGGUAGGGGAGAUCGGAAUUCCGCGUGUAGCAGUGAAAUGCGUAGAUAUGCGGAGGAACACCGAUGGCGAAGGCAAUCCCCUGGGCCUGCACCGACGCUCAUGCACGAAAGCGUGGGGAGCAAACAGG
Molecule: ribosomal RNA, 253 nt
Filed under: uncultured bacterium
Lineage: Bacteria
Description: partial 16S ribosomal RNA
Rfam family: Bacterial small subunit ribosomal RNA
Source: RNAcentral